This 584-nucleotide ribosomal RNA is filed under the name uncultured bacterium. RNAcentral's name for it is "bacterial SSU rRNA". It matches the Rfam family "Bacterial small subunit ribosomal RNA", at positions 102 to 682 of the family's 1533-position model. The record is from RNAcentral.
ACGGGUGAGUAAUGCAUCGGAACGUACCCGGAAGUGGGGGAUAACGUAGCGAAAGUUACGCUAAUACCGCAUAUUCUGUGAGCAGGAAAGUGGGGGAUCGCAAGACCUCACGCUUUCGGAGCGGCCGAUGUCGGAUUAGCUAGUUGGUGGGGUAAAGGCCUACCAAGGCGACGAUCCGUAGCGGGUCUGAGAGGAUGAUCCGCCACACUGGGACUGAGACACGGCCCAGACUCCUACGGGAGGCAGCAGUGGGGAAUUUUGGACAAUGGGCGCAAGCCUGAUCCAGCCAUGCCGCGUGAGUGAAGAAGGCCUUCGGGUUGUAAAGCUCUUUCGGCGGGGAAGAAAUUGCACUUGUUAAUACCGAGUGUAGAUGACGGUACCCGCAUAAGAAGCACCGGCUAACUACGUGCCAGCAGCCGCGGUAAUACGUAGGGUGCGAGCGUUAAUCGGAAUUACUGGGCGUAAAGCGUGCGCAGGCGGUUUCGUAAGACAGAGGUGAAAUCCCCGGGCUCAACCUGGGAACGGCCUUUGUGACUGCGAGGCUAGAGUGUAGCAGAGGGGGGUAGAAUUCCACGUGUAGCAGU